CUGGAGGUAUCAGAAGUGCGAAUGCUGACAUAAGUAACGAUAAAGCGGGUGAAAAGCCCGCUCGCCGGAAGACCAAGGGUUCCUGUCCAACGUUAAUCGGGGCAGGGUGAGUCGACCCCUAAGGCGAGGCCGAAAGGCGUAGUCGAUGGGAAACGGGUUAAUAUUCCCGUACUUGGUGUUACUGCGAAGGGGGGACGGAGAAGGCUAUGUUGGCCGGGCGACGGUUGUCCCGGUUUAAGCGUGUAGGUGUGUGUUCCAGGUAAAUCCGGUUCACUUUAACACUGAGGCGUGACGACGAGGCACUACGGUGCUGAAGCAACAAAUGCCCUGCUUCCAGGAAAAGCCUCUAAGCAUCAGGUAACAUCAAAUCGUACCCCAAACCGACACAGGUGGUCAGGUAGAGAAUACCAAGGCGCUUGAGAGAACUCGGGUGAAGGAACUAGGCAAAAUGGUGCCGUAACUUCGGGAGAAGGCACGCUGACACGUA
This 487-nucleotide ribosomal RNA is filed under the name Salmonella enterica subsp. enterica serovar Braenderup. Its description in RNAcentral is "partial 23S ribosomal RNA". It matches the Rfam family "Bacterial large subunit ribosomal RNA", at positions 1273 to 1760 of the family's 2925-position model. The record is from RNAcentral. Lineage: Bacteria; Pseudomonadati; Pseudomonadota; Gammaproteobacteria; Enterobacterales; Enterobacteriaceae.